GCAGAUAUCCUCCUAUCUUAUGUCGCGACUACCUGAGCCAGCGCUACAAUGACACUCAUGCUGAUUUGAAAAUUUACAAGAAACAACAAUCAUAAUCAUAAGUAGAACUAGUCGGUGUUUCGAGAUGAGCAGCAUAGAGAAUUUUAUUUAUUAGCUUUGUCAAUUUCUUUAAGCUUUUUUAGCUGCAUGAUGUUUUAGGAAUAACAGCAUCAGAUUUUGUUGUAUUAUAUAGGUGUUGUUUAAUAGCAAAAUUAUUUUUUUAGGAGAGGGUGUGGCUUAGCUAUUUGGUUCAGUACUUAUUGUUAAAUCUAAAAGAAAAGCAUAUAUGAAAAAUCAUGCUUUUUAUCAAUAUUCAGUUAUUCAUUCCUAGCAUUAUUAUAAAUCAAAAGCAUUGUAGUUUUCUCUCAAUAUAGUAUUCUUACAUUAUGUGACACAAUAUAAUGUUGAUAUGUGAAGUUAGUUAUUAGUCCCACAA
RNAcentral lists this long non-coding RNA (475 nucleotides) under Trifolium pratense (red clover). RNAcentral describes it as "long non-coding RNA (TPRA_LNC004082)". Lineage: Eukaryota; Viridiplantae; Streptophyta; Magnoliopsida; Fabales; Fabaceae. The record is from RNAcentral.